This is a small nuclear RNA of Aotus nancymaae (Ma's night monkey), 114 nucleotides long. Its record names the gene U1. It matches the Rfam family "U1 spliceosomal RNA". Rfam says of the family: U1 is a small nuclear RNA (snRNA) component of the spliceosome (involved in pre-mRNA splicing). NCBI's taxonomy places the organism in Eukaryota, Metazoa, Chordata, Mammalia, Primates, Aotidae. The record is from Ensembl.
AUAUUUACCUGGCAGGGGAGAUACCAUGAUCACAAAGGUGGUUUAUCUAGUUUUUGUGGGAAACUCUACUGCAUAAUUUGUGGUAGUGGGGGACUGCAUUCGAGCUUUCCCCUG